UAGGAGCUGCGUUGAUUGCUCUGACCUGUCAAUGGGCAAGAGCUGCAAAGCCAGCAGGAGAGCACGUUCUGAUGCCUGUAGUUAAAUAACAGCACCUCAGGAGAGCACAUAUAUGAAAUAUUUGAAAGCUGAAAGGUCACUCUCAAUGAAUCUCCCCUUUCUUGGGAGCAAGAGCUGCCAUUUCCCAGGCACUCCUCUGGCUGGGCAGGCUGUACCACAGCGGCCUGGGCUCCAGGCCACUUCAGAAGAGGAGGUAUUUUCAUAGAUAUGAGCUUUUCUCUAUAAUGUAUCCAACUUAAAGCAACACCGAACUUCUGGCAGAAAUUUUAAACAACCCCAAGGGGUGGAAGUUCUUUAAACCAGCAGUAAGGCCCACCUGCCUUUUCACACAGGUUCACCGAGGUCUCGCACUCUCCCUUCUGGGACCAAGGGCCUCCAAAGACCACCCACAGCAAACAUGCAGUGCUCCUGGCAAAAUGGAGAAAAGAAAAGGAAGAACUCACAGGAAAAAAAUACAUUAUGAAGAACUAGGAUUUUCUGUAAAGACUACAACAGUCUUUACAGACUGUUAUAACAGACUAGCACCUAACAAGGUCACUACAGAGCUGCUGUCAGUGUGGAGAAGCCUCACUCACAGGGCAGAGCCAGGGUCUGACCUGGAGGCUUUGGAGCUUGACAGGACAGCACGGGGAGGAGCACCCACGCAGUCCUGGGCUGUGAGAAGCCUUGCCUGAGCCCAGGGACACCGAGGAGCUGGACACAGCUCAGGGACUGCACAUCCUGAACAGCCAGCACACACUCACCUGCUGGGAACACUCCUUGGAAGGGCAUUGUCUGCCUGUAAAGCUGCAAGGAAAAAAUAAAAAAAUCAGCCCACGUUUUUUCCUCAGUUUCUUUCAGUUAGGUGAGUGAAGUCUAAAUGCAUCUGGACAUGAACACAUCUUUAUCAGGCAGAUUAAUUGGAGGGAUAUUUUCAAAAACUUAUCAACAAAAUAUAGGGGUGUUUGGCAGGCAUUAAGGAUGGCUUCGGACACUUCUGCCUUCAGAAAGUAGAACAUUUGAACAGAAUAGGAGAAAAAGGGUCAUGUCCAGCAAAUGAAAGUAUCUGUAAUGGUACAAUCAGUCUGAACCAGAAAACUGCAGAAAUCCUGUGCACAAAAGAGAACAGUUCUGCUUCAAAUGACAACCUGUCAAAAAAGGUGCUGCCUCCCUAAACAUAUCAGAGAGAGAUUUAGCUUUAAAAUUAUUGAACAAGAAAAGAGCCAAGAAGGGGAGAGGAGGCUGCUAUGAUGGAACAUGCAGUAACAGUGAUCUUAGGGAACAGGUACCAGCUAUUCCCAAGGGAUUAACAACUACAGCAGAGCCACAGUGACAGGCAAGGAGCCAAGCAUGGUAAAGAAGAUAGAUGGAAAGCUUCCAAGGUCUAGUGAUCAUGGUAAUAUUACUUCUAAAUUUUCCUGAGGUAAUAUUAACUUCUAAAUGUUCAGAAAAAGCAAUUCUAAUUUAUUAAGACUUCUUAAGAAAUCCACACUUGAAUGCAAGCAAUAGAAAACUGAUAGUAAUCAAUUGUUUUCUACAACAAAAAAGCAUUUAACUCAUGGUUAAAGACAGAGCUAUAGUCAGCCUGCAAACCACACAUGAGUAAUUUUUGAGGACUUAAAUCACUCAAACCUUAAUCACAAUUCAUGCUGAAAUUUCUGCAAGUUGAGUUUUGUGGCUGUCUCAGUACACACCUAAAGCAUCAUAAAACCUGUAAGAACCAGCAGUAAAUAAAUGAAUGUAUAAAUAGUUGUUUGACAUAAAGGAUCAAAAUUCUUUACAAGCAUUUAGCCCUUGGAUGGAUGAGGCCAACAUCUGAUAAGACAGGAAUAUAUCAAGAAAAGCAGAAUUAAACAUCAAAUUGCAGGACACUUACAGGCAGUACCACCUUUUUCCAAGAGGUCUUGAAAAAGAGAAGCCUGUUCCCCUCUUGAUUCUUUGGGCCAAGCUCACAACACCACCACACUUCUUUUACUGUGAUCAGGUAGGAUUAAGGACCUCAUCUGAAAGCAGCCUUAAUAAGGACUUUUCCUCUGUGCAAUUUACCCACCUAUGUUCUCAAAUUUAAUUCAUAAUAAUUAAUACCCCAUUCCCACAUAAUAUCUGUGAAAAGAGAUUAAAAUAAACAUCACAGAAGUGGACAGCCUUAUUUCUUUGGCAGCACUGAUGGUAAUAGAAACCUCAGAGAUAAUGGUAUCAUUCUCCUCUGCAAGGCCACUCACCAG
Passer domesticus (house sparrow) is the source of this 2264-nucleotide long non-coding RNA. RefSeq lists it as uncharacterized. The record is from RefSeq and is a predicted model, not a curated record. NCBI's taxonomy places the organism in Eukaryota, Metazoa, Chordata, Aves, Passeriformes, Passeridae. The transcript is spliced from 3 exons.